AUUGAACGCUGGCGGCAGGCCUAACACAUGCAAGUCGAGCGGUAGAGAGAAGCUUGCUUCUCUUGAGAGCGGCGGACGGGUGAGUAAUGCCUAGGAAUCUGCCUGGUAGUGGGGGAUAACGUUCGGAAACGGACGCUAAUACCGCAUACGUCCUACGGGAGAAAGCAGGGGACCUUCGGGCCUUGCGCUAUCAGAUGAGCCUAGGUCGGAUUAGCUAGUUGGUGAGGUAAUGGCUCACCAAGGCGACGAUCCGUAACUGGUCUGAGAGGAUGAUCAGUCACACUGGAACUGAGACACGGUCCAGACUCCUACGGGAGGCAGCAGUGGGGAAUAUUGGACAAUGGGCGAAAGCCUGAUCCAGCCAUGCCGCGUGUGUGAAGAAGGUCUUCGGAUUGUAAAGCACUUUAAGUUGGGAGGAAGGGUUGUAGAUUAAUACUUUGCAAUUUUGACGUUACCGACAGAAUAAGCACCGGCUAACUCUGUGCCAGCAGCCGCGGUAAUACAGAGGGUGCAAGCGUUAAUCGGAAUUACUGGGCGUAAAGCGCGCGUAGGUGGUUUGUUAAGUUGGAUGUGAAAUCCCCGGGCUCAACCUGGGAACUGCAUUCAAAACUGACUGACUAGAGUAUGGUAGAGGGUGGUGGAAUUUCCUGUGUAGCGGUGAAAUGCGUAGAUAUAGGAAGGAACACCAGUGGCGAAGGCGACCACCUGGACUAAUACUGACACUGAGGUGCGAAAGCGUGGGGAGCAACCAGG
RNAcentral lists this ribosomal RNA (753 nucleotides) under uncultured Pseudomonas sp. RNAcentral describes it as "bacterial SSU rRNA". It matches the Rfam family "Bacterial small subunit ribosomal RNA", at positions 28 to 776 of the family's 1533-position model. The record is from RNAcentral. Lineage: Bacteria; Pseudomonadati; Pseudomonadota; Gammaproteobacteria; Pseudomonadales; Pseudomonadaceae.